AGCCCUCCUCUUUGCUCCCUGUCUGAAGUCUGCAUAUUCCAUGAAUCCUUGAGGGAGCCUGAUUCUUAUAAGGCAGGGGUCACUAAAGGAACCACAACAGUGUCUCCCUUGGAGAAAAGGAAAGGAAAUCACCACCGUUUAAGAACGCCACAGAAUUCAUUCCCUUCAGAUACUGUCCGUGUGUGAGUUACACGUGCCAACUGCCAGGAAACACUCCCUGAGUGGAUAACACACCCAACUGUGCCUUUGGCUGCCUACAACAGUGGCUGCCAGGUAUUAGUUGUUUUUCCAGGCCCCAUUAAGGACUCUUCAUCCUGUCCAGCAAGAGGCAUUAAAGCUUUCACGAGUUAAAGUUGUUCCCAGCUCGGUGUUAUUCAAAGGCAAUUUACACUAAUUAUUCGAGUCCACAGCGUUACCCAUAUUAGCAGAACGAACCAUC
This 439-nucleotide long non-coding RNA is filed under the name Mus musculus (house mouse). Its description in RNAcentral is "RIKEN cDNA E330013P04 gene". Lineage: Eukaryota; Metazoa; Chordata; Mammalia; Rodentia; Muridae. The record is from RNAcentral.